RNAcentral lists this ribosomal RNA (492 nucleotides) under uncultured bacterium. Its description in RNAcentral is "partial 16S ribosomal RNA". It matches the Rfam family "Bacterial small subunit ribosomal RNA", at positions 29 to 507 of the family's 1533-position model. The record is from RNAcentral.
AGUGAAUGCUGGCGGUAGGCCUAACACAUGCAAGUCGAACGGCAGCACAGUAAGAGCUUGCUCUUACGGGUGGCGAGUGGCGGACGGGUGAGGAAUACAUCGGAAUCUACUUUUUCGUGGGGGAUAACGUAGGGAAACUUACGCUAAUACCGCAUACGACCUACGGGUGAAAGCAGGGGAUCUUCGGACCUUGCGCGAUUGAAUGAGCCGAUGUCGGAUUAGCUAGUUGGCGGGGUAAAUGCCCACCAAGGCGACGAUCCGUAGCUGGUCUGAGAGGAUGAUCAGCCACACUGGAACUGAGACACGGUCCAGACUCCUACGGGAGGCAGCAGUGGGGAAUAUUGGACAAUGGGCGCAAGCCUGAUCCAGCCAUACCGCGUGGGUGAAGAAGGCCUUCGGGUUGUAAAGCCCUUUUGUUGGGAAAGAAAAGCAGCAGGUUAAUACCCCGCUGUUCUGACGGUACCCAAAGAAUAAGCACCGGCUAACUUCGUG